This 21-nucleotide small nuclear RNA is filed under the name Arabidopsis thaliana (thale cress). Its description in RNAcentral is "snRNA_09710". The record is from RNAcentral. Lineage: Eukaryota; Viridiplantae; Streptophyta; Magnoliopsida; Brassicales; Brassicaceae.
UCUCUGAGCUCGAAGCAGGUG